AGAACUGUCACCCCUGGGUCGCAUGGAGGCCUUGAGGGUUGGGAUUCAAUCCUCAUUCCUGAGAAGAGAUGGGGACUUGCUAUACUGCCCAGGCUGGAUAUGAACUCUUUGCCUCAAAGGAUCCUUCCAUCUCAGCCUCUCAAAAUACUGGGACUGCAGGUGUGAGCCACCAUGCCUGGCCUGUAUUUGGACAGUUGUUGCAGCACCAUGCUUAGCCUAUAUUUGGACAGUUUUUGCAGCAAAGAUGGAAUAAUCAUAUCUUCCCUACAGAGUUCCUGUGAGAAUUAUAAGUGAA
RNAcentral lists this long non-coding RNA (295 nucleotides) under Homo sapiens (human). RNAcentral describes it as "non-protein coding lnc-PHACTR2-1:1". The record is from RNAcentral. Lineage: Eukaryota; Metazoa; Chordata; Mammalia; Primates; Hominidae.